AGCAGUCGCCGCGGUAAUACGAAGGGUGCAAGCGUUAAUCGGAAUUACUGGGCGUAAGGCGUGCGUAGGCGGUUUGUUAAGUCUGCUGUGAAAUCCCCGGGCUCAACCUGGGAAUGGCAGUGGAUACUGGCAAGCUAGAGUGUGUCAGAGGAUGGUGGAAUUCCCGGUGUAGCGGUGAAAUGCGUAGAGAUCGGGAGGAACAUCAGUGGCGAAGGCGGCCAUCUGGGACAACACUGACGCUGAGGCACGAAAGCGUGGGGAGCAAACAGGAUUAGAUACCCCAGUAGUCCCUGUCUCUUAUAA
Molecule: ribosomal RNA, 303 nt
Filed under: uncultured bacterium
Lineage: Bacteria
Description: partial 16S ribosomal RNA
Rfam family: Bacterial small subunit ribosomal RNA
Source: RNAcentral